ACGAAUCUCUAGGGAUUUAGAGGAGAUUUAGAUCCAAUAUCAAGGGGCCGGAAAUAGAUCAUAGCAGUCAAGCUCACCUUGGCAGCGUUCGUGGAAGGUUUCUUGGAGUUUUCCGGCGAUUUACGUGUUGCACGAUUGAGAAGGGCCAAAUAUGUAGUUGGUACAGUCAAGCUUUGCAAGAAAAACCUGGUGGCUCCUAGGAUAUUGAAGCUUCCUCAGGCUUAGGCCCGUGCUUAAAGAAGAGAGAGAGCCAAAGGAAGAAUUUCAAACGCCAAACAACGAAUUUGGAGCUCUCUCAGCAUCAUUAGAACAAGGACAAAGAAAACUGGGUGGCUUACGUGCAGUUUACCGUCAACCUUACGGCCGUAAGUAAGUUCCAGAGAAUCUUGCGAGCUUGCUUAUGCCCAUAAAGAAGGAUUUAGAGCUAACUUAGCAGACCUUACAUGCAAGGCUUAUGCACAUAAGGAUGCCCGUAAGAACCAUCUAGAGGAGCUUAGGACCACAGCAUACUCCCGUAAGAACGGUCGCAAGAAACUAAACAAUGAAGCUUACGGUCCAGCGCUUACAGCCGUAAGCUGGACUGUAACACAAACAUAAGACCUUACGGCGUAAGUGUUCUCGUAAGGCUUCCAACCAUCUUCUCCAGCUCCCUUGUGGCCUAUCCCUUACGCCCGUAAACAGCUCGUAAGCAGUCAGGUAUAAAUAGAACUUAUGAGGAUUUUUAAGGCAUUAUCUAUUUCAGCAAUUCUUGGAGACGAGGUUAGAGAAGAAAAGAGAUGAAUUACCAGCACUUAAGGAGCAAUUUGGAGAGGGAUUCUGAUCUACAUUCAAGGAGAUUGAAGAUCAUAGCCGUCAAGCUCAUCUUGGUGGCAUGUGUGGAGGUUUAUCAAGCAACUUCUCUGGCGAUUCUUUAUCCUAGGGAUUGAA
This is a long non-coding RNA of Dioscorea cayenensis subsp. rotundata (Guinea yam), 927 nucleotides long. RefSeq lists it as uncharacterized. The transcript is spliced from 3 exons. The record is from RefSeq and is a predicted model, not a curated record. NCBI's taxonomy places the organism in Eukaryota, Viridiplantae, Streptophyta, Magnoliopsida, Dioscoreales, Dioscoreaceae.